GGGGGGGGGGGCGCCGACUCACUCAGAAAAGCGCAUCGAUCGGGCCUGCGAUCCCCCAGGAGGCGGCUCCCGAGCGGCGCGGCGCGCCUGGCCUCGUCGCGUCCCGCCCGCGCGCGGCCAGCCCCGACGCCGCGGGCAUCAAAUGCCACCAGCCGGAGGCGACCCAGAUUCCGCCCGGAGGACGCGAGGCUGCGUGCCUUUCGGAGCGGGAGCGCCGGAACAAGUCCCGACACGCGAGGGGCGAGCGGGGGCGGGCAGGAAAUUCUAGAACAUGGAGAAGGAAGCUGUGGGGAUAGGACCAGUCCCCUUGGGGAAUUCAGGUGGUUUUCCAGGGAAAAGUCAACCUGGAAAGAGCUCUGCAGUCACCCCAGCUGGACAAAUGUGCUCCAAGGCCUCAGCUUCAGAGCCACCUCCCCUCCAGGACCCAUCCCUCCUGAGGCCCAAGUACUGUCCUGAGAUGGAGAGAGCUUCCAGAAGGAAGAAGAGCGUCACUGCCCCACCGGAAAGGCCCGGGUCCUCAGCUGCCCUUCCGAGCCCUCUCCUCGGCGCCUGGAGUGAACCCCGGGCUCAGUGAACACUUGCUGGCAUGUGUGAGGAAUGCGAAAAUUAUCAUCAGAUAAAACCAACGCGUACAUUUCACUGUCAAUAAAACUGGAAAACAUCCAAACAGAGCCCCUUUGGUGCCAUGAAAGAAAAGUCAACGUUUCCUACGUUAACGAUGAGGGAAGGGCUCCUGCUCCCAUCUCAUGCCGACCUGAGUUUCUUUCAUAAUUUGAGACCGACAUGUAAACAGGCACACUCUGGCCUUGCUCCAGACGUGUUGUGUGUAUUUCUGGGGUUUGUUUCUUUUCCUUUCUCUGGUUGUUUUUAAUUCGUUUUUCUGUUUUGUUUUGUUUUAAACAAAAACGAUUGGAAAACAGAUGGGGGAAGAGAAUUGCCAGAAGGAAGAUGGCCCCAGAGGGUCAGAAAAGGGAUGGGCCGCCAGCCCCCGUUGACUCCCUGUUGGAUGGCCCCACCCUCAAACAUCUAAAAAGAUUUAAAAAAAGAAAAAAGAUGCCAAGGGAUUAAAAAAAACCAACAAAAAACCCUCCUCUGUCCCCCAGGCCUCCAGGACGCUAAGCCAGCUUGCAAGUGGAUGGCCGAGAGGAAAAGCCAGUAGAGGCAUCUUAGAGGAGCAGGAAGGUGUAACUCCGGGAACCAGAAUCCCACUUGACAGCGGUUGGUGGGCUCGUUUCCUGGAGACAGUUGCUCAGAAUAAACCAAAAAGAAAAGAAGAAAGAAAGAAAGGAGGAAGAAGGUUUGGCUUUCUCCUGGUCAAGUCCCUCCCUUUCUUGAACUGACAGAACACUCUCCAGGAAAAUAGGGCUCCGGUAUAAAUGGCUUGUGUAGCACAUUCCGGGUUUCCGUUAGGACAACUUGCCUCCAUAGGAAAGAGGGGGAUCUUUACAGCAAGUAAUUAACCCCGUGGCAUGGAAAUACAGUUGAGUUUUUAGAAUACGGUACAGCCAUAAAGAACAAAUUAGGAUUAGACCUCCUAAGGCUGUCACUUAUCCAUGAGAGGAUAAGAGCCACCUAUCCAGAUGAAGGGCCCAAGACAGUCCCCUGCUAUAAACGAGUAUUAAAUUUUUCAUUACCAUCCUAGCUAAUAAACACCCUUUCUGAGCAAGGGAGGAGCAAAGAGCCUUCCAUUUUCCCUCCGCCAGUUAACAUCAGAAAGGGGGUACCAUACUUCACUGAAUCCUGAAAGCAUAUCGUUUAUGUGUUAACAGCCACUUUUAAAACGAAACCUGCCCUAAAAAUAGGUAGACAGUAAAUUUGCCUUUUUUUCUCGAA
Molecule: long non-coding RNA, 1833 nt
Organism: Hyaena hyaena (striped hyena)
Lineage: Eukaryota; Metazoa; Chordata; Mammalia; Carnivora; Hyaenidae
Exons: 3
Source: RefSeq, a predicted model, not a curated record